RNAcentral lists this long non-coding RNA (727 nucleotides) under Manihot esculenta (cassava). Its description in RNAcentral is "long non-coding RNA (MESC_LNC004314)". Lineage: Eukaryota; Viridiplantae; Streptophyta; Magnoliopsida; Malpighiales; Euphorbiaceae. The record is from RNAcentral.
GAUCAUGUAUUAAAAGGGAUACCAUACACAUAGGGUCAAGCACAAUCUCUAAUCCUCAAGGUCAUUACAUUACGUAACUAUUCACAACUCUACAUCAUUAUACAAUUUGUCAUAUCCACAUUCUAGCUAUUACAUACACAAGACUUCAAUACUCUUGCUGACCUCCUGGUCUACCCUGUACCUGCAAGCCUGGGGGUUAAGGGAGAAGGGUGAGCUACAAGAGCCCAGUGAGCAGAAUAAUAAAACAUUUAAAAUAUAUGAUAACAUGAAAUGCAUCACAUCACAGCUAAUCACAUCAAUGAUGAAUUUGUCACCAAUAGUCCUCUACAUGGUCCAACUGCGCCAGGGGCGUAGAAUGGGCCUCACUAGUCUUUCUCUUACAUAAUCAUAACAUAGCAUAACAUAACAUUCCAACUGUGCCAGGGGCGUAGAAUGGGCCUCACUGGUCUUCCGUACCGUAUCAUCAUCAUAUCAUAACAUAUGAGGACUAAAGGAUCAUUCAACAUUCAUCCGCAUCAUCAACAUAUUAUGCAAUGCAACAUAUUCGUGAGUUCCAAUGCAAGCACCCUAUUAUAUCUCAUGGCAGUCAUGAUGCGUGAAUCAUGCUAAAACUGGUUUAUUUAUUUCAAAGCAUAAGAGUUAUUCCACUCACCUCUGGCUAAAGCUCUACUGACUCAGAAGCAGCUGAACUCACUGCUGGGGUCCUCGGUUCCUCGGGUCCGAACCU